AAAAAUCUACCAUCAAUUUCUGAAAUUAAUAGAAGAAGAUUCAUAACGAAAGCAUGACAUAAAAAAAUAAAAAAAUAAAAAUAAACAAACUUCCCCUGCCGAACGUAAAAAGAGAAAAGCUACUCUCCCACCAACUUUUAAUAUGUCACGAUUUGUUUUACGCAAUGAAACUUAUCGGUUUGUCAUAUUAUUAUUUACUGGUUUUUUAACAGAUAUCGUAAGAACGAGAACAUGUAACAAACGCCAAUGAAGAGGAUAUAAUAAAAGAUUAGAAAACAAACACCAGUGAAAGUGAGUGGGACAUUUAUUUGGUGUGCGAGUGAAGUGCUAUUAAAGACUUAUGAGGUCAGUAAUGUAAAAAAUAGAGAAACGAGAGGGUAAAUGACUAAAUGUGAAAAAGAGACGUACUAUGAGUAGUCAAAUCAAAGAUGAAUCACACAAAAGCUAAAUAACCCUUACCACCCACU
This 467-nucleotide long non-coding RNA is filed under the name Brassica napus (rape). RNAcentral describes it as "long non-coding RNA (BNAP_LNC015101)". Lineage: Eukaryota; Viridiplantae; Streptophyta; Magnoliopsida; Brassicales; Brassicaceae. The record is from RNAcentral.